Molecule: ribosomal RNA, 764 nt
Filed under: Flavobacterium hibernum
Lineage: Bacteria; Pseudomonadati; Bacteroidota; Flavobacteriia; Flavobacteriales; Flavobacteriaceae
Description: bacterial SSU rRNA
Rfam family: Bacterial small subunit ribosomal RNA
Source: RNAcentral
GUCGAGGGGUAUUGGUUUUCGGACCAAGAGACCGGCGCACGGGUGCGUAACGCGUAUGCAAUCUACCUUUCACAGAGGGAUAGCCCAGAGAAAUUUGGAUUAAUACCUCAUAGCAUUAUAGCUUCGCAUGAAGCCACAAUUAAAGUCACAACGGUGAAAGAUGAGCAUGCGUCCCAUUAGCUAGUUGGUAAGGUAACGGCUUACCAAGGCUACGAUGGGUAGGGGUCCUGAGAGGGAGAUCCCCCACACUGGUACUGAGACACGGACCAGACUCCUACGGGAGGCAGCAGUGAGGAAUAUUGGACAAUGGGCGCAAGCCUGAUCCAGCCAUGCCGCGUGCAGGAUGACGGUCCUAUGGAUUGUAAACUGCUUUUGUACAGGAAGAAACAGUUCUACGUGUAGAACCUUGACGGUACUGUAAGAAUAAGGAUCGGCUAACUCCGUGCCAGCAGCCGCGGUAAUACGGAGGAUCCAAGCGUUAUCCGGAAUCAUUGGGUUUAAAGGGUCCGUAGGCGGUUUAGUAAGUCAGUGGUGAAAGCCCAUCGCUCAACGGUGGAACGGCCAUUGAUACUGCUAGACUUGAAUUAUUAGGAAGUAACUAGAAUAUGUAGUGUAGCGGUGAAAUGCUUAGAGAUUACAUGGAAUACCAAUUGCGAAGGCAGGUUACUACUAAUGGAUUGACGCUGAUGGACGAAAGCGUGGGUAGCGAACAGGAUUAGAUACCCUGGUAGUCCACGCCGUAAACGAUGGAUACUAGCUGUUGG